GGGGGAGCAAAACUAAAGUUCAAAUUGGCAUCUAUUUGGAUGAGAUAGGGGGAACUUUCACUCUCAAAUUUAGAAGAUGCUGAAAUUUCAGCACCUAAAGCAUUUUCUAAACUUUAAACCUCAAUUCUCAUAUAAACAUCAAUUUGCUUAUACUCAAUAUUUUUUAAUCAUCAAAAAGGGGGAGAUUGAGGAUGAUAAUGUUAUUUUGACAAUUAACAUAACCACUGAGGCCAUAUCAAA
RNAcentral lists this long non-coding RNA (240 nucleotides) under Phoenix dactylifera (date palm). RNAcentral describes it as "long non-coding RNA (PDAC_LNC015836)". Lineage: Eukaryota; Viridiplantae; Streptophyta; Magnoliopsida; Arecales; Arecaceae. The record is from RNAcentral.